GACGAACGCUGGCGGCGUGCCUAACACAUGCAAGUCGAACGGAACUGUUUUGAAAGAUUUCUUCGGAAUGAAUUUGAUUUAGUUUAGUGGCGGACGGGUGAGUAACGCGUGAGUAACCUGCCUUCAAGAGGGGAAUAACAUUCUGAAAAGAAUGCUAAUACCGCAUGACAUAUCGGAACCACAUGGUUUUGAUAUCAAAGAUUUUAUCGCUUGAAGAUGGACUCGCGUCCGAUUAGUUAGUUGGUGAGGUAACUGCUCACCAAGACCGCGAUCGGUAGCCGGACUGAGAGGUUGAACGGCCACAUUGGGACUGAGACACGGCCCAGACUCCUACGGGAGGCAGCAGUGGGGGAUAUUGCGCAAUGGGGGCAACCCUGACGCAGCAACGCCGCGUGAAGGAUGAAGGUUUUCGGAUUGUAAACUUCUUUUAUUAAGGACGAAAAAUGACGGUACUUAAUGAAUAAGCGCCGGCUAACUACGUG
Molecule: ribosomal RNA, 482 nt
Filed under: uncultured bacterium
Lineage: Bacteria
Description: partial 16S ribosomal RNA
Rfam family: Bacterial small subunit ribosomal RNA
Source: RNAcentral